GAGACGGGACAGAACUAUACUUUAGAGUGUUUCUGAGCAAACUAAGUAAAGAAAAAAAAACUUUUUAAUGAUUUUUCCAGUUUUGUUAAUCUGGGUAACUUGAUUCACAGAUAUUUAAAGUUACACUUGGCUACAUUGUAUUAGAUUGUACAAUGAAACUAAGCAAGACAAACCUGAUCUCGCUCUUCACACUGAUUCUGGUAUUUCACACCAUAGCUGUACAAGCAGAAGCUUCUGGUGAUGAGGCUCUGAGGAUCCUGGUUGUGGGAGUCAGAGGUCAGUCCAGAUUCAGUGCUGCAGAUCUUCUGUCAGGAAGGAAAGACGGAGGACAGGAGGACAGAGAGAUUGUAAAGACUCCAGUAAUUACAGACGGG
Molecule: long non-coding RNA, 374 nt
Organism: Cyprinus carpio carpio
Lineage: Eukaryota; Metazoa; Chordata; Actinopteri; Cypriniformes; Cyprinidae
Source: Ensembl